UCCCUCUCCUCGGUACUCAUUUGAUCUCCUUCCUCAACUCACUCACCAGGAGCAGGGUUUAUCACUCACUAUUCGUCUAUAAACCCUAAGAAGUUAUCCUUGAAGCUCCUCCCUUUUAAAGCUUCCUGAAACCCUAGAAUUCCAUCGCAGAUAUAUGGACUGGACGGAUUCAUACAUUCCUACCCAUCACCUCAUUGUUGCAAUUUUCAAAUCCACAAUUGUGUCCUGCCACCGUCAAUUUCAGCGGUAAGUUCUCUAAAUCAUACCGAAUAUAGAUUCACGGCUUUUCUUUCAAUCAGGUGUGUGAGAAUACACAACGGUUGAUUUCUGAUUCGCUUUGAAUUCAAUUACGAAAUCUAGGGUUUUUGUACCUCUUUCUCAGCACUUGCGUCUAUUAUCAUUGGAGUCAAUUUCGUUAAAAUAUUGAGCUGAAUGAAAGUUCUAUCGAUUCGUCCAACCCCCUAAAUGAUUCAAGAGUUUUCUGAAUAUGAGCGAUGGAGGCAAUGAGGAGAGUGCGAGAGAGAUAGACAAUGUAAUUGAGAUUAACCCUGCUAUUAGCCGAUCGGGCGCCAAUGAGUUCGGCCGAGCAAUUGCAAAAAUUGCGGUGGCGCAGAUAUGUGAAAGUGUGGGAUUUGAGAGCUUUAACGAGUCAGCUCUCGAAUCUCUUUCUGAUAUUGCAGUUAGGUAUCUUUGUGACCUAGGGAAAACCGCAAGUUCAUAUGCUAAUUCAGCAGGCAGGACUGAGUGUAAUGUGUUUGAUAUAAUUCAGGGGAUGGAAGAUUUUGGGCUGUUGCGAGGGGUUUUGGGUGCCUCAGAGGCUCCUAAUUGCGUCAUAGAAUCUGGUGCCUUGAGGGAGAUCAUGGACUACGUUGAGUCUGCUCAGGAGAUUCCAUUUGCUCAGCCUGUCCCCCAAUUUCCUGUUGUCAGAGCUAGGAAACUGAUACCUAGUUUCUUGCAGAUGGGCGAGACACCAGAAUUCAAGCAAAUACCAGAUUGGCUGCCUGCAUUUCCUGAUCCCCACACAUAUCGACACUCGCCUGUCUGGAAUGAGAGGGUGACGGAUCCUCGUGCUGAUAAGAUUGAGUUAGCUAGGCAAAGACGGAAGGCAGAGAGAUCUUUAUUGAGUUUGCAACAGAGGUUGGUGUGUAAUGGUGAUGUGAUAGCAUCGACCUCUACCACGGAACCUCAUGAUAGCAGGCUGGAAAUGCAACCUAAUGCAAGUGAAAACCCAUUUCUUGCCAAGCCUUUACAAGCUGGAGAGAAAGAUGUCUCUCCUGUCAUUCUUCCUGAUACGGUUAGGAAUCAAGCAGAUGGGGAAAAUCACAUUUCUUUGUUGGAGGCAUUUGCUCCAGCUAUUGAGGCAAUGAAGGAUGGGCCUUCUGAAUCAGGACAUGAUGUGGAAAAAACUCUUCCAGACAAAAGACCUGCAGUCUGUUUGGAGUUCAAAACUGGGAAAAAGGUUUUAGGUGAUUUGUUGGAUCUGAGACUCAGAAACAGGGGUUCUGGAAGAACAGCAUCUUGGUUUGGCCAUAAUGAUGAGAAAGAUGACAAAAAAAGGAGAGCUGAGUUUAUACUUAGGCAGUCUAUGGAGAACCAACAGGAGCUCACUCAGUUGUAAAUUAGUACAUUGAAUUCUUUGCUUGUUGAGAACUAUCAUACUUCGUUCAAAAGAAGAGCUGCGGAUUAGACUAGAGCAGAGAUAGAGGCACACAGUAGUUGUACUGUUAUUGUGAUGAGAGUCCAUGUGGGGAUCUGAACCCAUGUGAGGCAUUUUUGAGGGACACUUAAAUGUGGAGUAGAUGUAGCUUGUCAUUUUUUGGAUGAUAGUGAUUCACCCACCCUACAUGCUGCUGUUGAGUCGUAGCUCCAUUGCUUAA
This is an RNA transcript of Coffea eugenioides, 1877 nucleotides long. It is a transcript of the gene named transcription initiation factor TFIID subunit 8, with no coding region annotated. The transcript has 2 exons. Lineage: Eukaryota; Viridiplantae; Streptophyta; Magnoliopsida; Gentianales; Rubiaceae. The record is from RefSeq and is a predicted model, not a curated record.